GUUUAGCCCCGAUAGCAGCGACAUCCUUCUUAUAUGCUUAAUAUUUAAGUUAUUAAACAGAAAAAUAAUAACUGGUUAAGCUAUAUUUUUUUAAACACAAAUGACGUUUCUGCACAUAAAAAGAUAUAGCGGAAAGCGGGAAAUAGC
Small RNA from Algibacter lectus, 147 nucleotides. It matches the Rfam family "Flavo-1 RNA". NCBI's taxonomy places the organism in Bacteria, Pseudomonadati, Bacteroidota, Flavobacteriia, Flavobacteriales, Flavobacteriaceae. The record is from Rfam.